AGGAGGCUGGGACGAGCAGGGAGGAGGCCUUGCCUAGAGCCCGGGAGACAGCCAGAGUUGCCGUGGGCUCAGAAUGGCAAGAAGGUGCUCCUGCGGAAUCCCAGAUACCUGGUUCCAGGAAUCAAACCCAGAGGAGCAAGAGGCAAGCAGAUGAUUGCAGUGACCAGGAAGAAGGUCACAUGCACAGCAACACGAAAGAGAAAUGCAGUUAUUCCAUUUUUCAAAAUUGGAUCCUGCUUACAUCAUCCAAGACUUCCUAUUUGACUUAGGGUUUCGAUCCAAAAGUCACUGUCUUCAGGACAUCCCUCAGAACACCUUGUGCCCUUGUGACUAUUGAAUUAAUUAUUUUAAGGAUAUAUUAAGUACCUCUGUUUCCCGUUGAAACAUCAGCUGGAGGAGGACAAGAAUGAUGUCUGUUCUGUCCUCCGGGCACAUCAUCAGAUCAUCAUAAUCUCUAAUCCGGAUUAGAAAGAUGAGUUUCUAGAAUGCGAAUCUGCUUAAAACCUUUCCUCUUCGAACUCAGGGGAAAGUCAAACUCCUUCAGGUAGCUUCCAAGGCCCUGCCUGCUCCGGCCUCGUCUCCUCCCACCUGCCUCCCCCUUCCCUUCCACAUUCAUCUAGACCCAGCCGUCUUUCUGUGUACUAAAGCAGGGGAACUUUGCCUGUGAGGCUUCAGAUACGCUAGGUAGAUUUGUAUUCAUCCUUCAGCUCUGAGCUGAGAGCUGCAUGAAUUGGUUGACUGACUUUUCAUUCAUCCUCUUCUAUGUGCCAGGAAGUGUACUAAGUCCCGAGGAAACAGGUGAACAAGACAGAUGGGGGCCCCGGCCCCACUGUUCCCUUCCUUGACCACCCUCACCCUGAGGCUGGGGUACGUACGGGCUCCACGCCUCUCUGAAGAAUCCAUGGCAUUGCCUGAUCACACUGCUGUAAUGACUAUUUCCCUGUCUCGCCUGCUAGCUCAUGAACUAUUUGUUGAAUGAAUUUAGGAACCAUCAAAAUCCUUUGCUCAUGACAAAUAAAAGAAAAAGAAAUAGAAUGGAUGAACUGGAUCACAGACACUGUGGGCAGGGGGAGCAGGGUCAGAGACAAAGGCAGCAAGAGAGGCCUCUGCUCCUCCUCCUUCCCCAGGAAGUUACAGAAUGUGUGGUCUGAGAAAUGCGUGUGGAACCGGGCACAGAUUCUGUUUAU
This is a long non-coding RNA of Zalophus californianus (California sea lion), 1187 nucleotides long. RefSeq lists it as uncharacterized. The transcript has 3 exons. The record is from RefSeq and is a predicted model, not a curated record. NCBI's taxonomy places the organism in Eukaryota, Metazoa, Chordata, Mammalia, Carnivora, Otariidae.